Molecule: signal recognition particle RNA, 83 nt
Filed under: uncultured Acetatifactor sp.
Lineage: Bacteria; Bacillati; Bacillota; Clostridia; Lachnospirales; Lachnospiraceae
Description: Bacterial small signal recognition particle RNA
Rfam family: Bacterial small signal recognition particle RNA
About the family: The signal recognition particle (SRP) is a universally conserved ribonucleoprotein involved in the co-translational targeting of proteins to membranes. Archaeal SRP consists of a 7S RNA and homologues of the eukaryotic SRP19 and SRP54 proteins.
Source: RNAcentral
CGGUCUUGCGCAAUGAGAAUCUGCGAACCGUGUCAGGUUGGGAACAAAGCAGCACUAAGCAGAACCUCUCAUGUGCCGUGAGG